GCGGGCGUAGUUCAGUGGUAGAACGUCUGCUUGCCAAGCAGAAGGUCGUGGGUUCAAACCCCAUCGCCCGCUCCA
RNAcentral lists this transfer RNA (75 nucleotides) under Pseudomonadota bacterium. RNAcentral describes it as "tRNA-Gly". It matches the Rfam family "tRNA". Rfam says of the family: Transfer RNA (tRNA) molecules are approximately 80 nucleotides in length. Their secondary structure includes four short double-helical elements and three loops (D, anti-codon, and T loops). Further hydrogen bonds mediate the characteristic L-shaped molecular structure. tRNAs have two regions of fundamental functional importance: the anti-codon, which is responsible for specific mRNA codon recognition, and the 3' end, to which the tRNAs corresponding amino acid is attached (by aminoacyl-tRNA synthetases). tRNAs cope with the degeneracy of the genetic code in two manners: having more than one tRNA (with a specific anti-codon) for a particular amino acid; and 'wobble' base-pairing, i.e. permitting non-standard base-pairing at the 3rd anti-codon position. Lineage: Bacteria; Pseudomonadati; Pseudomonadota. The record is from RNAcentral. RNAcentral also lists the same sequence under 1 other name.